This 76-nucleotide transfer RNA is filed under the name Pseudomonadota bacterium. RNAcentral's name for it is "tRNA-Glu". It matches the Rfam family "tRNA". Rfam says of the family: Transfer RNA (tRNA) molecules are approximately 80 nucleotides in length. Their secondary structure includes four short double-helical elements and three loops (D, anti-codon, and T loops). Further hydrogen bonds mediate the characteristic L-shaped molecular structure. tRNAs have two regions of fundamental functional importance: the anti-codon, which is responsible for specific mRNA codon recognition, and the 3' end, to which the tRNAs corresponding amino acid is attached (by aminoacyl-tRNA synthetases). tRNAs cope with the degeneracy of the genetic code in two manners: having more than one tRNA (with a specific anti-codon) for a particular amino acid; and 'wobble' base-pairing, i.e. permitting non-standard base-pairing at the 3rd anti-codon position. RNAcentral also lists the same sequence under 2 other names. Lineage: Bacteria; Pseudomonadati; Pseudomonadota. The record is from RNAcentral.
GUCUCGUUCGUCUAGCGGCCUAGGACACCGCCCUUUCACGGCGGUAACACGGGUUCGACUCCCGUACGAGACACCA